AGCAGCCGCGGUAAUUCCAGCUCCAAUAGCGUAUAUUAAAGUUGCUGCAGUUAAAAAGCUCGUAGUUGAAUUUCGGGAUCAAUAUGUUGGUCGUGCCUUGGUACGUACUAGCUCAUUGGUUUCUCCCUUCUGACGAACCAUGAUGUCAUUAAUUUGAUGUCAUGGGGAAUCAGGACUGUUACUUUGAAAAAUUAGAGUGUUUAAAGCAGGCUCGCGCUUGAAUACAUUAGCAUGGAAUAAUGAAAUAGGACAUUUGAUUCUAUUUUGUUGGUUUCUAGGAUCGAUGUAAUGAUUAAUAGGGAUAGUUGGGGGCAUUAGUAUUCAAUUGUCAGAGGUGAAAUUCUUGGAUUUAUUGAAGACUAACUACUGCGAAAGCAUUUGCCAAGGAUG
RNAcentral lists this ribosomal RNA (390 nucleotides) under uncultured Glomeromycotina. RNAcentral describes it as "SSU rRNA". It matches the Rfam family "Eukaryotic small subunit ribosomal RNA", at positions 569 to 966 of the family's 1831-position model. Lineage: Eukaryota; Fungi; Glomeromycota. The record is from RNAcentral.